RNAcentral lists this ribosomal RNA (443 nucleotides) under uncultured bacterium. RNAcentral describes it as "partial 16S ribosomal RNA". It matches the Rfam family "Bacterial small subunit ribosomal RNA", at positions 338 to 795 of the family's 1533-position model. The record is from RNAcentral.
CCUACGGGCGGCAGCAGUGGGGGAUAUUGGACAAUGGGGGAAACCCUGAUCCAGCGACGCCGCGUGAGUGAAGAAGUAUUUCGGUAUGUAAAGCUCUAUCAGCAGGGAAGAAAGAAAUGACGGUACCUGAAUAAGAAGCCCCGGCUAACUACGUGCCAGCAGCCGCGGUAAUACGUAGGGGGCAAGCGUUAUCCGGAAUUACUGGGUGUAAAGGGAGCGUAGACGGUAAUGCAAGUCUGGAGUGAAAGGCGGGGGCCCAACCCCCGGACUGCUCUGGAAACUGUGUAACUGGAGUGCAGGAGAGGCAGGCGGAAUUCCUAGUGUAGCGGUGAAAUGCGUAGAUAUUAGGAGGAACACCAGUGGCGAAGGCGGCCUGCUGGACUGUAACUGACGUUGAGGCUCGAAAGCGUGGGGAGCAAACAGGAUUAGAUACCCGAGUAGUC